CUGCGAAAUGGACGAGGUAGGCCGACAUUUAGCAAGUUUUGAGUGAAAGAAAGCCGAACGGAAGGACAGAACUGGGUCGACAUUGGCGAAAGAUCUUUGCUGGGAGAAACUCGAUAAAUUGAUAAUUUAUGCCCACGCAUCUCUAUAGGAUUUUUGCCUCUACAUAUUUUCGGACGGGAAGGACGCCGUUUUUAUCUCUCCUCGUAUUUACUCCUCAUCACUCGCAUCGGCCAACUGGACACAUUUUCUGGAUUUUUACUUGUUGCAUCUCUCAAAGUAUAAAAAUAUAUACUUUCGAAAAUUCCAUUUUUUUAAGAGUGACAUAAUUGGUAGGAUGAAGCUCAGAAAGUUUAUCCAGUUUGACACGAACCACCACUACCCGAGCACAUUCGCAGUGCUAUUUCUCAUCAAUAUGUUCAACCAAAAUCAUAUUCGUCAACCGACUUGGAAAUACCAAACACUCUGGAUGACAUACACCAACAAGUGUCACCAGAUUUGAAAAUGGGGUACUUCAUCAUGACCAAAAAGUUUUUUAUUUUGGAAGACGGGUGAAAGUCGGGCAAAAUCCGGGAAGUUAUUUCCGCAACCAUUCAAGUGAUCAUUGCCAUCCUAAUUUUAUGCAGCAUGAAUAUUUAUGAUUUGAUUUGAACGUGAAAGGAUUAACAGACUUCGUACAUUUUUACUAUAUUAUAAAUCACUCAACACAUUUACCUGACUUUUUCCACACAUUUGGAUAAGAAAUUAUUUGCCCAAAUUACCUAAACGUAGACACCCAACAUCUACAAGUUAGACUUGCGAAAUGAAAAGACUGCGUAAUUUGACUAAUUCAUUUAAUGUUAGUUUUUAAGUAAUUUCUUUUGGUCAUCUGUCAAAAAUUAUCUAAAAUCGUAGCAGUAAUAAUUGUAGCCCAGUUAAACAAGAUCUGUAAACACAAUCAGUCGAAAAAUUAUGUAUCUAUUACCGCUUGAGAUUCAUUGAAAUGGAAUUUCUCAUUGUAUUGCAAAUAUGUACAUAUCUAUGCAUAUGUACAUACAUAAAUUUGUACAUAUGUCGCUGCAGCCAGGGAUUCGAUGCGUGUGUAUGCAAAGAUCUUAUUUGUGUAGCUGCUGCUGCACAUCAAGCAAAAUAUUUUAGCUCAAUGUUCAGUAUAGACAAAUUUUGACUAGAGAAAUGUAAUCUUUUGGUCAGACAAAAAUAUGUACAAAUGUCACAAGUUUGGAAAAUACAUAUCGAGCUUUUUAGGAUCUGUAUGUGAUCGAUAUCGCAGAGGACCGAUGGAAAAUCGCGGGCGCUAGGAUCCACGAUGCAGGGAAUUAGCAAAUGGUUAAAAGGAGUAAUUUUACUGCUUUUACGUGCAUCAAAUGUAGAGGUGCAUGCAGAACUGUGCUAGUGUGAUGUGAGUCAGGUCAGUGUAAUGUAAUCUACUACAAAUUGUAGUCUACAAUGUACCAUGCCUGGAAUUUCUUACCCCACCAACCCGCAAUGCGGGGAGAACACUUGGAGAAAAUACUGAUUUUUUUUUCAAUAGGGACAGAUAUUCAACUAAAAAUUAUUAAUAAACCGUAGUAACGUUAGAAGUAGCUCACCCUGUCAUAAUGAUUUGCAUAUAACUUUCCACCAAAGGUACGGAAUAAGUCGACAAAAUAGAUUACAACUCUCAUAGAUUCUUGCACCAAUAGUGCAAUAUAAACGGAAAAAUAUUUUU
Long non-coding RNA from Folsomia candida, 1705 nucleotides. RefSeq lists it as uncharacterized. The record is from RefSeq and is a predicted model, not a curated record. The transcript is spliced from 4 exons. NCBI's taxonomy places the organism in Eukaryota, Metazoa, Arthropoda, Collembola, Entomobryomorpha, Isotomidae.